GACAACAGACGGAAACGACUGCUAAUACCGAAUGUGGACGCAUGAUGAAAGUGGCCUUUUUUAGCUAUCGCCUGAAGAGGGGUUUGCGUCUGAUUAGGCAGUUGGUGAGGUAACGGCCCACCAAACCUACGAUCAGUAGCCGGGCUGAGAGGAUGAACGGCCACACUGGAACUGAGACACGGUCCAGACUCCUACGGGAGGCAGCAGUGGGGAAUCUUCCGCAAUGGACGAAAGUCUGACGGAGCAACGCCGCGUGAGUGAUGACGGCCUUCGGGUUGUAAAGCUCUGUGAUCGGAGACGAAGGCUGGUAUGCUAAUA
Molecule: ribosomal RNA, 318 nt
Filed under: uncultured bacterium
Lineage: Bacteria
Description: bacterial SSU rRNA
Rfam family: Bacterial small subunit ribosomal RNA
Source: RNAcentral